GAUGAACGCUGGCGGCGUGCCUAAUACAUGCAAGUCGAGCGAACAGACGAGGAGCUUGCUCCUCUGACGUUAGCGGCGGACGGGUGAGUAACACGUGGAUAACCUACCUAUAAGACUGGGAUAACUUCGGGAAACCGGAGCUAAUACCGGAUAAUAUAUUGAACCGCAUGGUUCAAUAGUGAAAGACGGUUUUGCUGUCACUUAUAGAUGGAUCCGCGCCGCAUUAGCUAGUUGGUAAGGUAACGGCUUACCAAGGCAACGAUGCGUAGCCGACCUGAGAGGGGGACCGGCCACACGGGAAGGGAAACAGGGCCCGGACACCACGGGGAGGCGGGAGUGGGAAAUAUUCGGCAAGGGGCGAAAGCCUGAGGAGGAAAGGCGGGGGGGGUGAGGAAGGUUUUGGAAUCGAAAAACUCUGUUAUAAGGAAAGAAAAAAUGUGAAAGAAACUAGGCGCUUGUAGGGGGUGCAAAAAAGAAAGGCCCGGGCAAGGUACGGG
This 497-nucleotide ribosomal RNA is filed under the name uncultured bacterium. RNAcentral describes it as "partial 16S ribosomal RNA". It matches the Rfam family "Bacterial small subunit ribosomal RNA", at positions 28 to 507 of the family's 1533-position model. The record is from RNAcentral.